Molecule: ribosomal RNA, 469 nt
Filed under: uncultured bacterium
Lineage: Bacteria
Description: partial 16S ribosomal RNA
Rfam family: Bacterial small subunit ribosomal RNA
Source: RNAcentral
GACGAACGCUGGCGGCGUGCUUAACACAUGCAAGUCGAACGGAAAGGCCCUGCUUGCAGGGUGCUCGAGUGGCGAACGGGUGAGUAACACGUGGGUGAUCUGCCCCUUACUUUGGGAUAAGCCUGGGAAACUGGGUCUAAUACUGGAUAGGACCAUGCUGUAGGUGGUGUGGUGGAAAGAUUAGUUUCGGUAAGGGAUGAGCUCGCGGCCUAUCAGCUUGUUGGUGGGGUAAUGGCCUACCAAGGCGUCGACGGGUAGCCGGCCUGAGAGGGUGGACGGCCACAUUGGGACUGGGAUACGGCCCAGACUCCUACGGGAGGCAGCAGAGGGGAAUAUUGCACAAUGGGCGCAAGCCUGAUGCAGCGACGCCGCGUGGGGGAUGACGGCCUUCGGGUUGUAAACUCCUUUCAGCCAUGACGAAGCCCUUGUGGUGACGGUAGUGGUAGAAGAAGCACCGGCUAACUACGUG